AUGUCCACUGCUGGCCAGUCAAGAGCAUCGCAGAGCACUCAGUGGGGAGGCUGUGUGCCCCAGCCCCGCACACGCGGGAGCCUGGGAGAAGCCAGAGCAGCUUCGGGGAGAAGGGCCUGCACAGGUGGCCUGAGCCAGGGCAGGGGCUGGGGUGUGAGUGGACUGAGGUCAGAAGCACUGACCAACCUCCUGGGAGCAACACUCCGCAGGCAGGACCUUUGGGAUGCUCUGGAAGGCAGAGCUCCAGGCUGUCCCAGGGGAGGCAGCAGGUGCUUUUUCCUGGAUAAGGAUUUGGUCACUCUCUUCCCUGGAAGGGGAGUAAGGUCUGGGGAUGAGGGGUAGCCUGAGCUCUGACCCCAUGCCCUGUCCACCCCACGAGAGAGGAAGCGGCUUCCCCGCCCACCUGCCACCACUGGCGGCACCAGGGAGAAGAGCAGCUGCGGGGCCGCGUCCUGUGCUGCCAACCAGGGUGGGCCUCCCUGAGGGAGCAGGGGCCAGGCUGGGGGUGCAGGCAGGCCUGCUGCUGGCUGGGGGCUCUCUGAAGGCUGGGGGGGCAGGGGGGAUGGCGGUGGGGAAGGAGACCCACCCUCAGAGAGCUAACAGCACCAAGAUGAGAGGAAACAGCAUUAAAUAUGGCAGGAACGAGGGGCCUUAAGGGGGAAGACGAGGGGCUCCCUGAUGUUAUUUCCCCCUUGAGAGUCAGAUCGGGGCAGGGGGCAGGCGAGAGGCAGAGAGGCACCGAGGGGAUGGAGAUGAGCAGGCCGGGCUCCAGCUCUUUCCUAUAGAUAAAAACCUCGGGCCACCACCUUGAGAUCACAGGGCCAAGCUCGGGAUGCAGCCUGGUCAGAAGCCAGAGAAGCCCUGGUUCCCGCACAGGCCCCACUGACGCGGCUUCCCGGCCCCUCGGCAUCUCGCUGACAACCACGGGCUCCCAGAGCCAGCUGGUCCCUGGGACAACUCCACUCUAACUGCGGAUCCACAAAGGCACAGCCAGGAAGAGCACCCUUGCUCCCCGGAGUUGUGACACAAAAGGCCUUCCAGGGGUCUCCGUCGAGCGUCCCCUCCACCGAACAGGAGGAGCCACUCUGAAGCCUCUCUCGGCACAAGAUCCUACGCCGAGCCCAUUCCUCUUUGGGAACCAGCCAGACCCUGACCCAGGGCUCCAGGAUUUUCACGAAGCUGCGAAUAAACGCUCCAUUCGCCCAGCUGUGUGUGUGGCGGGGAGGGGGCUUGUCAGGAAUUCGGCGGCAGGGAGGUCACAGAGCCCCACGCUCAGGGCCGAGGGCCACGUGAGAAGGCAGCCACUGUGAGAGGACGCCCCGGGUGCCCGGCUCCUCGCUGCCCCUCCGGG
Molecule: long non-coding RNA, 1351 nt
Filed under: Capra hircus (goat)
Lineage: Eukaryota; Metazoa; Chordata; Mammalia; Artiodactyla; Bovidae
Description: lncRNA (ENSCHIG00010020406.1)
Source: RNAcentral